RNAcentral lists this ribosomal RNA (432 nucleotides) under uncultured bacterium. RNAcentral describes it as "partial 16S ribosomal RNA". It matches the Rfam family "Bacterial small subunit ribosomal RNA", at positions 29 to 506 of the family's 1533-position model. The record is from RNAcentral.
AACGAACGCUGGCGGCAUGCCUAACACAUGCAAGUCGAACGAGACCUUCGGGUCUAGUGGCGCACGGGUGCGUAACGCGUGGGAACCUGCCCUUAGGUUCGGAAUAACUCCCCGAAAGGGGUGCUAAUACCGGAUAAUGUCUUCGGACCAAAGAUUUAUCGCCUUUGGAUGGGCCCGCGUUGGAUUAGCUAGUUGGUAGGGUAAAAGCCUACCAAGGCGACGAUCCAUAGCUGGUCUGAGAGGAUGAUCAGCCACACUGGGACUGAGACACGGCCCAGACUCCUACGGGAGGCAGCAGUGGGGAAUAUUGGACAAUGGGCGAAAGCCUGAUCCAGCAAUGCCGCGUGAGUGAUGAAGGCCUUAGGGUUGUAAAGCUCUUUUACCCGGGAUGAUAAUGACAGUACCGGGAGAAUAGGCUCCGGCUAACUCCGU